AAAUUGAAGAGUUUGAUCAUGGCUCAGAUUGAACGCUGGCGGCAGGCCUAACACAUGCAAGUCGAGCGGUAGCACAGAGAGCUUGCUCUCGGGUGACGAGCGGCGGACGGGUGAGUAAUGUCUGGGAAACUGCCUGAUGGAGGGGGAUAACUACUGGAAACGGUAGCUAAUACCGCAUAACGUCGCAAGACCAAAGUGGGGGACCUUCGGGCCUCAUGCCAUCAGAUGUGCCCAGAUGGGAUUAGCUAGUAGGUGGGGUAACGGCUCACCUAGGCGACGAUCCCUAGCUGGUCUGAGAGGAUGACCAGCCACACUGGAACUGAGACACGGUCCAGACUCCUACGGGAGGCAGCAGUGGGGAAUAUUGCACAAUGGGCGCAAGCCUGAUGCAGCCAUGCCGCGUGUGUGAAGAAGGCCUUCGGGUUGUAAAGCACUUUCAGCGGGGAGGAAGGCGUUAAGGUUAAUAACCUUGGCGAUUGACGUUACCCGCAGAAGAAGCACCGGCUAACUCCGUGCCAGCAGCCGCGGUAAUACGGAGGGUGCAAGCGUUAAUCGGAAUUACUGGGCGUAAAGCGCACGCAGGCGGUCUGUCAAGUCGGAUGUGAAAUCCCCGGGCUCAACCUGGGAACUGCAUUCGAAACUGGCAGGCUAGAGUCUUGUAGAGGGGGGUAGAAUUCCAGGUGUAGCGGUGAAAUGCGUAGAGAUCUGGAGGAAUACCGGUGGCGAAGGCGGCCCCCUGGACAAAGACUGACGCUCAGGUGCGAAAGCGUGGGGAGCAAACAGGAUUAGAUACCCUGGUAGUCCACGCCGUAAACGAUGUCGAUUUGGAGGUUGUGCCCUUGAGGCGUGGCUUCCGGAGCUAACGCGUUAAAUCGACCGCCUGGGGAGUACGGCCGCAAGGUUAAAACUCAAAUGAAUUGACGGGGGCCCGCACAAGCGGUGGAGCAUGUGGUUUAAUUCGAUGCAACGCGAAGAACCUUACCUGGUCUUGACAUCCACAGAACUUAGCAGAGAUGCUUUGGUGCCUUCGGGAACUGUGAGACAGGUGCUGCAUGGCUGUCGUCAGCUCGUGUUGUGAAAUGUUGGGUUAAGUCCCGCAACGAGCGCAACCCUUAUCCUUUGUUGCCAGCGGUUCGGCCGGGAACUCAAAGGAGACUGCCAGUGAUAAACUGGAGGAAGGUGGGGAUGACGUCAAGUCAUCAUGGCCCUUACGACCAGGGCUACACACGUGCUACAAUGGCAUAUACAAAGAGAAGCGACCUCGCGAGAGCAAGCGGACCUCAUAAAGUAUGUCGUAGUCCGGAUUGGAGUCUGCAACUCGACUCCAUGAAGUCGGAAUCGCUAGUAAUCGUAGAUCAGAAUGCUACGGUGAAUACGUUCCCGGGCCUUGUACACACCGCCCGUCACACCAUGGGAGUGGGUUGCAAAAGAAGUAGGUAGCUUAACCUUCGGGAGGGCGCUUACCACUUUGUGAUUCAUGACUGGGGUGAAGUCGUAACAAGGUAACCGUAGGGGAACCUGCGGUUGGAUCACCUCCUUACCUUAAAGAA
This 1550-nucleotide ribosomal RNA is filed under the name Klebsiella pneumoniae. RNAcentral describes it as "bacterial SSU rRNA". It matches the Rfam family "Bacterial small subunit ribosomal RNA". RNAcentral also lists the same sequence under 1 other name. The record is from RNAcentral. Lineage: Bacteria; Pseudomonadati; Pseudomonadota; Gammaproteobacteria; Enterobacterales; Enterobacteriaceae.